RNAcentral lists this transfer RNA (67 nucleotides) under Microtermes obesi. RNAcentral describes it as "tRNA-Met". The record is from RNAcentral. Lineage: Eukaryota; Metazoa; Arthropoda; Insecta; Blattodea; Termitidae. RNAcentral also lists the same sequence under 1 other name.
AGAAAAGUAAGCUAAAUAAGCUAAUGGGUUCAUACCCCAUAAAUAGAGUAAACAACUCUCUUCUCUG